UACGGAAGGCAGCAGUGGGGAAUAUUGCACAAUGGGCGCAAGCCUGAUGCAGCCAUGCCGCGUGUAUGAAGAAGGCCUUCGGGUUGUAAAGUACUUUCAGUCGUGAGGAAGGUGUUAAGGUUAAUAACCUUAGCAAUUGACGUUAGCGACAGAAGAAGCACCGGCUAACUCCGUGCCAGCAGCCGCGGUAAUACGGAGGGUGCGAGCGUUAAUCGGAAUUACUGGGCGUAAAGGGCACGCAGGCGGUUAAUUAAGUUGGAUGUGAAAUCCCCGGGCUUAACCUGGGAAUGGCAUUCAAGACUGGUUAGCUAGAGUCUUGUAGAGGGGGUAGAAUUCCAUGUGUAGCGGUGAAAUGCGUAGAGAUGUGGAGGAAUACCGGUGGCGAAAGGCGGCCCCUGGACAAAAGGACUGACGCUCAUGUGCGAAAGCGUGGGGAGCAAACAGGAUUAGAUACC
Molecule: ribosomal RNA, 455 nt
Filed under: uncultured bacterium
Lineage: Bacteria
Description: bacterial SSU rRNA
Rfam family: Bacterial small subunit ribosomal RNA
Source: RNAcentral